UACGAAAGGGGCUAGCGUUGUUCGGAAUUACUGGGCGCAAAGCGCACGUAGGCGGCCUUGUAAGUUGGGGGUGAAAUCCCGGGGCUCAACUCCGGAACUGCCUUCAAGACUGCAAAGCUAGAGGACGCGAGAGGUUAGCGGAAUUCCGGGUGUAGAGGUGACAUUCGUAGAUAUUCGGAAGACCACCAGUGGCGAAGGCGGCUAACUGGCGCGUUUCUGACGCUGAGGUGCGUAAGCGUGGGGAGCAAACACG
RNAcentral lists this ribosomal RNA (253 nucleotides) under uncultured bacterium. RNAcentral describes it as "partial 16S ribosomal RNA". It matches the Rfam family "Bacterial small subunit ribosomal RNA", at positions 524 to 776 of the family's 1533-position model. The record is from RNAcentral.